Molecule: ribosomal RNA, 1244 nt
Filed under: metagenome
Description: bacterial LSU rRNA
Rfam family: Bacterial large subunit ribosomal RNA
Source: RNAcentral
UGAAUACCAGACGCUACGGCGUUGAAGCAGUGUAUGUCAGACUUCCAAGAAAAGCUCGCAAUGUCCGAAAUAAAAUAAUGCCUGUACCAUAACCGACACAGGUGGGUAGGUAGAGUAUACUAAGGGGCGCGAGAUAACUCUCUCUAAGGAACUCGGCAAAAUAACUCCGUAACUUCGGGAGAAGGAGUGCCUUAUUUUAAGGUUGCAAUAACAAGAUCCAAGCAACUGUUUACCAAAAACACAGGUCUCCGCUAAGUCGUAAGACGAUGUAUGGGGGCUGACGCCUGCCCAGUGCCAGAAGGUUAAAGAAGUUGGUUAGCUAUUGCGAAGCUGAUGACUGAAGCCCUGGUGAACGGCGGCCGUAACAAUAACGGUCCUAAGGUAGCGAAAUUCCUUGUCGGGUAAGUUCCGACCCGCACGGAAGGCGUAAUGAUUUGGAUACUGUCUCGGAGAGGGGCUCGGUGAAAUAGACUUGUCUGUGAAGAUGCGGACUACCUGCACCUGGACAGAAAGACCCUAUGAAGCUUUACUGUAACUUGAAAUUGAAAUUGGACUUUAUUUGCGCAGUAUAGGUGGGAGGCGUUUGAAGAUAUUCUUGCGGGAAUGUUGGAGCCAUUAGUGAGAUACCACUCUUGUAAUGUUAGAUUUCUAACUUUGUACCAUAAUCUGGUCAAAGAACAGUUUCGGGCGGGCAGUUUGACUGGGGCGGUCGCCUCCCAAAUGGUAACGGAGGCAUACAAAGGUUUCCUCUGAACGUGUAGAAAUCGUAUCUAGAGUGUAAAGGCAUAAGGAAGCUUGACUGUGAGACCUACAAGUCAAGCAGGGACGAAAGUCGGUCUUAGUGAUCUGACGGUACUGAGUGGAAAGGCCGUCACUCAACGGAUAAAAGUUACUCUAGGAUAACAGGCUGAUCUCCCCCAAGAGUUCACAUCGACGGGGAGGUUUGGCACCUCGAUGUCGGCUCAUCGCAUCCUGGGGCGGUAGUACGUCCCAAGGGUUGGGCUGUUCGCCCAUGAAAGCGGUACGCGAGCUGGGUUCAGAACGUCGUGAGACAGUUCGGUCCAUAUCCGGUGUAGGCGUUAGAAUAUUGAGAGGAGCCUUCUUUAGUACGAGAGGACCGAGAAGGACAUACCUCUGGUGUACCAGUUAUCGUGCCAACGGUAAACGCUGGGUAGCUAUGUAUGGAGAGGAUAACCGCUGAAAGCAUCUAAGUGGGAAGCCCACCUCGAGAUGAGUAUUCUCAU